Acanthosepion pharaonis is the source of this 105-nucleotide non-coding RNA. Lineage: Eukaryota; Metazoa; Mollusca; Cephalopoda; Sepiida; Sepiidae. The record is from the annotation of a GenBank genome assembly.
ACGGUUAAAUCAAUUUGAAAACACCGAUUCUCAUUCGAUUCCCGAAGUUAAGCACCUUCGAGCCCGGUCAGUACUUAGAUGGAGUACUGCUUGUGAACACUGUGU